This 330-nucleotide unclassified non-coding RNA is filed under the name soil metagenome. RNAcentral's name for it is "partial contains 5.8S ribosomal RNA, internal transcribed spacer 2, and large subunit ribosomal RNA". The stretch from base 2 to 121 matches the Rfam family "5.8S ribosomal RNA", at positions 35 to 154 of the family's 154-position model. The record is from RNAcentral.
GGAUGAAGAACGCAGCGAAAUGCGAUAAGUAGUGUGAAUUGCAGAAUUCAGUGAAUCAUCGAAUCUUUGAACGCACAUUGCGCCCCUUGGUAUCCCGAGGGGCAUGCCUGUUCGAGCGUCAUUUCACCACUCAAGCCUGGCUUGGUGUUGGGCGACGUCCCCUUUGGGGACGCGCCUCGAAACGCUCGGCGGCGUGGCACCGGCUUUAAGCGUAGCAGAAUCUUUCGCUUUGGAAGUCGGGGCCCCGUCUACCGGAAGACCUACUCGCAAGGUUGACCUCGGAUCAGGCAGGGAUACCCGCUGAACUUAAGCAUAUCAAUAAGCGGAGGA